This 468-nucleotide ribosomal RNA is filed under the name uncultured bacterium. RNAcentral's name for it is "partial 16S ribosomal RNA". It matches the Rfam family "Bacterial small subunit ribosomal RNA", at positions 28 to 507 of the family's 1533-position model. The record is from RNAcentral.
GACGAACGCUGGCGGCGUGCUUAACACAUGCAAGUCGAACGGAAAGGCCCUGCUUUUGUGGGGUGCUCGAGUGGCGAACGGGUGCGUAACACGUGAGUAACCUGCCCUUGACUUUGGGAUAACUUCAGGAAACUGGGGCUAAUAUCGGAUAGGAGCUCCUGCUGCAUGGUGGGGGUUGGAAAGUUUCGGCGGUUGGGGAUGGACUCGCGGCUUAUCAGCUUGUUGGUGGGGUAGUGGCUUACCAAGGCUUUGACGGGUAGCCGGCCUGAGAGGGUGACCGGCCACAUUGGGACUGAGAUACGGCCGAGACUCCUACGGGAGGCAGCAGUGGGGAAUAUUGCACAAUGGGCGGAGGCCUGAUGCAGCAACGCCGCGUGCGGGAUGACGGCCUUCGUGUUGUAGACCGCUUUCGCCUGAGACGAAGCGUGAGUGACGGUAAUGGGUAAAGAAGCACCGGCUAACUACGUG